GGGUGAGUUCUCCAUUGGCAGG
Molecule: microRNA, 22 nt
Filed under: Medicago truncatula (barrel medic)
Lineage: Eukaryota; Viridiplantae; Streptophyta; Magnoliopsida; Fabales; Fabaceae
Description: mtr-miR399s-5p
Gene: mtr-miR399s-5p
Source: miRBase by way of RNAcentral